RNAcentral lists this ribosomal RNA (447 nucleotides) under uncultured bacterium. Its description in RNAcentral is "bacterial SSU rRNA". It matches the Rfam family "Bacterial small subunit ribosomal RNA", at positions 355 to 825 of the family's 1533-position model. The record is from RNAcentral.
UCGGGAAUUUUGGGCAAUGGGCGAAAGCCUGACCCAGCAACGCCGCGUGAAGGAUGAAGUAUUUCGGUAUGUAAACUUCGAAAGAAUAGGAAGAAUAAAUGACGGUACUAUUUAUAAGGUCCGGCUAACUACGUGCCAGCAGCCGCGGUAAUACGUAGGGACCAAGCGUUGUUCGGAUUUACUGGGCGUAAAGGGCGCGUAGGCGGCAAUUCAAGUCAUCUGUGAAAUCUCCGGGCUUAACUCGGAACGGUCAGAUGAUACUGCUUUGCUAGAGUGCAGAAGGGGCAAUCGGAAUUCUUGGUGUAGCGGUGAAAUGCGUAGAUAUCGGGAGGAACACCUGUGGCGAAGGCGGCCACCUGGUUGGAUACUGACGCUGAGACGCGAAAGCGUGGGGAGCAAACAGGAUUAGAUACCCAAGUAGUCCCUGAGCGGGCUGGCAAGGCGCAU